Molecule: ribosomal RNA, 864 nt
Filed under: Rhodella violacea
Lineage: Eukaryota; Rhodophyta; Rhodellophyceae; Rhodellales; Rhodellaceae
Description: partial Bacterial large subunit ribosomal RNA
Rfam family: Bacterial large subunit ribosomal RNA
Source: RNAcentral
AAGUAAAGAAGGGCACACGGGGGAUGCCUUGGCUCUCAGAGGCGAUGAAGGACGUGAUAAGCUGCGAUAAGGCCAGGGGAUGGGCACAUACCAAGUGAUCCUGGCAUUUCCGAAUGGGGCAACCCCACUACGUGAAGCGUAGUGACCAUCCGUUUAACGGAAUGGGGCAAACCCGGGGAACUGAAACAUCUAAGUACCCGGAGGAAAGGACAUCAACGAGACUCCGUCAGUAGUGGCGAGCGAACGCGGAUCAGGCCAGUGCCUGUGUGGAGUUUAUCGGAACGGUCUGGAAUGGCCGGCAAGAGUGGGUGACAGCCCCGUACGAGACGGACGACAUACAGGACUCGAGUAGGGCGGGACACGUGAAAUCCUGUCUGAACAUGGGGGGACCACCCUCCAAGCCUAAGUACUCCUCAGCGACCGAUAGCGAACAAGUACCGUGAGGGAAAGGUGAAAAGCACCCCGACGAGGGGAGUGAAACAGUUCCUGAAACCGGAUGCUUACAAACAGUGGGAGCUCAAGGUUCGUCCUGGGUGACCGCGUACCUUUUGUAUAAUGGGUCAGCGACUUAAAGUUACGAGCAAGCUUAAGCCGGUAGGUGUAGGCGCAGCGAAAGCGAGUCUGAAUAGGGCGACUUAGUUUGAUGGAUUAGACCCGAAACCCGGCGAUCUAGGCAUGACCAGGAUGAAGGUGGGGUAACACCCACUGGAGGUCCGAACCGAUUAACGUUGAAAAGUUACCGGAUGAGUUGUGUUUAGGGGUGAAAGGCCAAUCAAGCCGGGAAAUAGCUGGUUCUCCGCGAAAACUAUUGAGGUAGUGCCUCGGAUGAAUACCGAUGGGGGUAGAGCACUGGAUGGGCUAGGG